UACGUAGGGUGCAAGCGUUGUCCGGAAUUAUUGGGCGUAAAGAGCUCGUAGGCGGUUUGUUGCGUCGGCUGUGAAAUCCCGAGGCUCAACCUCGGGUCUGCAGUCGAUACGAGCAAACUAGAGUGUUGCAGGGGGGACUGGAAUUCCUGGUGUAGCGGUGAAAUGCGCAGAUAUCAGGAGGAACACCGGUGGCGAAGGCGGUUCGCUGGGAAUGACCUGACGCUGAGGAGCGAAAGUGUGGGGAGCGAACAGG
RNAcentral lists this ribosomal RNA (253 nucleotides) under uncultured bacterium. RNAcentral describes it as "partial 16S ribosomal RNA". It matches the Rfam family "Bacterial small subunit ribosomal RNA", at positions 524 to 776 of the family's 1533-position model. The record is from RNAcentral.